CUGAUACUUAGUGGCGGACGGGUGAGUAAUGCUUAGGAAUCUGCCUAGUAGUGGGGGGUAACUUGGGGAAACCCAAGCUAAUACCGCAUACGACCUACGGGUGAAAGGGGGCUUUUAGCUCUCGCUAUUAGAUGAGCCUAAGUCGGAUUAGCUGGUUGGUGGGGUAAAGGCCUACCAAGGCGACUAUCUGUAGCUGGUCUGAGAGGAUGAUCAGCCACACUGGGACUGAGACACGGCCCAG
This 241-nucleotide ribosomal RNA is filed under the name uncultured Pseudomonadales bacterium. RNAcentral's name for it is "partial 16S ribosomal RNA". It matches the Rfam family "Bacterial small subunit ribosomal RNA", at positions 85 to 334 of the family's 1533-position model. Lineage: Bacteria; Pseudomonadati; Pseudomonadota; Gammaproteobacteria; Pseudomonadales. The record is from RNAcentral.